GUUGAUCUAAGCUCUUAAUGUAUAUCAUUCUGUAAAUGAAUGUAUAAAAAAAAGAUCAAACUUGUUAGGUUGAUCUUGAGAUGUAAUAGAUAGGCUUCGAAGAGAUCGUAGUGUAUCAAACUGAUCAAGAUUACAGAAGUCAAGGAAGAGCGUAGAGCUUCGAGGAUCGUAGUAUGCCUGCCUUAAGGGCCUCUUCGAAAAACGUAGAGUGGUCCCAACGUUUGCCGAGCCAACUCAGAAAUCGUAGUGUGCUCUCAAAAACGUAGAGCUUGCAAACAAGCAAGUAAAGAUCGUAGUGUGCAAGUCUUUAAGAGAAAUCGUAGUGCUUUUGUUUGAUGAAAUCAGACCUAGCACCAAGGUAACAAGACACCACGAUCUGGAUCGUAGAGUAUCAUUUGACGUGUGUCAGAAGCAUCGAACCCUACCUUUUUGUUUGAUGAUAUAUCUCUAAUAAAUAUGGAAUGGGUUUCAAAUGUUGAAGUCCUCACCAGUUCCAACGGUACAAAAGAUAUCCUUAGUAUGCAACAAAGAAGCGUAUUGAAGAAGCUAAGAAAAGUACCAUUGGUAAAAGGAAAAUACCUUUUCAGGUGUUAGGUGAGAAAGCAGUCUGCUGUGUCAGUGGGCCAGAAUGCAAUUCAGAAGAUGUGCAGAAAAAUCUCCAUCAAAGUACAGAAAUAUCAAACGCAUUUAAUGCUUCAACGGAUGGAUCAAACGGAUAGAUUUCAAGAUCACAUAUAUGCAAAACUUAUGCAGAUGCAAGGAUCAAGCAAGCAUUGAAUAAAACGCACAAGAACACUCAACGCUCAACUCUACGAUCUCAGAAAAAGAAAAGUUUGCUCAGCUACUCAGUUCUCUCGAAUAAGUGCUUAACAGCAACUGAGUAGCUACCAUCAAGAACUCAACAACUACCAAUCAACUGAAGUAAGAGUUCCAAGUCAGAAGGACUUGAAGAGUUCUAAGUGAACUAUAAAGAGCCAAGUCUGUUGGACUUGACGAGUUCAAGAGUGAACUAAGAAGUUCCUAGACUGCUGGUCCAGAAGGAAU
Molecule: long non-coding RNA, 1044 nt
Filed under: Panax ginseng (ginseng)
Lineage: Eukaryota; Viridiplantae; Streptophyta; Magnoliopsida; Apiales; Araliaceae
Description: long non-coding RNA (PGIN_LNC004615)
Source: RNAcentral